CAGUAGCCGCGCGGUAAUACGGAGGAUCCAAGCGUUAUCCGGAAUCAUUGGGUUUAAAGGGUCCGUAGGCGGUCUUGUAAGUCAGUGGUGAAAGCCCAUCGCUCAACGGUGGAACGGCCAUUGAUACUGCAGGACUUGAAUUAUUGGGAAGUAACUAGAAUAUGUAGUGUAGCGGUGAAAUGCUUAGAGAUUACAUGGAAUACCAAUUGCGAAGGCAGGUUACUACCAAUUGAUUGACGCUGAUGGACGAAAGCGUGGGUAGCGAACAGGAUUAGAUACCCCAGUAGUCCCUGUCUCUUAU
RNAcentral lists this ribosomal RNA (301 nucleotides) under uncultured bacterium. RNAcentral describes it as "partial 16S ribosomal RNA". It matches the Rfam family "Bacterial small subunit ribosomal RNA", at positions 509 to 807 of the family's 1533-position model. The record is from RNAcentral.